AAAUAGUCUGAAGGAAUACGCACGCAGCAAAGCGGAGAUCACAUCCAAGAGCGAGCGGAAGCGCGCAGCUUCGAUUUCGGCGAGGGUUUUUUUGGGAGAGGAGGAUCGAUGGCGAAGGGGGAGGGCCCGGCGAUCGGGAUCGACCUCGGCACGACCUACUCCUGCGUCGGGGUGUGGCAGCACGACCGUGUGGAGAUCAUCGCCAACGACCAGGGGAACCGCACCACGCCGUCGUAUGUCGCCUUCACCGACACCGAGCGGCUCAUCGGCGACGCCGCCAAGAACCAGGUCGCCAUGAACCCCACCAACACCGUCUUCGAUGCGAAGCGGUUGAUUGGUAGGAGGUUCUCUGACCCGUCCGUGCAGAGUGACAUGAAGCUAUGGCCGUUCAAGGUCGUGGCUGGCCCCGGCGACAAGCCGAUGAUCGUCGUGCAGUACAAGGGCGAGGAGAAGCAGUUCUCGGCGGAGGAGAUCUCCUCCAUGGUGCUGAUCAAGAUGAGGGAGAUCGCCGAGGCCUACCUCGGCUCAUCCAUCAAGAACGCCGUGGUCACCGUCCCCGCCUACUUCAACGACUCGCAGAGGCAGGCCACAAAGGACGCCGGCGUCAUCGCCGGCCUCAACGUGAUGCGCAUCAUCAACGAGCCCACCGCCGCCGCUAUCGCAUAUGGCCUCGACAAGAAGGCGACCAGCAGCGGCGAGAAGAACGUGCUCAUCUUUGAUCUGGGCGGUGGCACCUUCGACGUGUCGCUGCUCACCAUCGAGGAGGGCAUCUUCGAGGUCAAGUCCACCGCCGGCGACACCCACCUCGGCGGCGAGGACUUCGACAACCGCAUGGUGAACCACUUCGUGCAAGAGUUCAAGCGCAAGAACAAGAAGGACAUCAGCGGCAACCCCCGCGCGCUGCGGCGGCUCCGGACGGCGUGCGAACGCGCCAAGCACGCUGUCGUCGACGGCGCAGACCACGAUCGAGAUCGACUCGCUCUACGAGGGCAUCGACUUCUACACGACGAUCACCAGGGCGCGGUUCGAGGAGCUCAACAUGGACCUGUUCCGCAAGUGCAUGGAGCCCGUGGAGAAGUGCCUCCGCGACGCCAAGAUGGACAAGAGCACCGUGCACGACGUCGUGCUCGUCGGCGGCUCCACCCGCAUCCCCAAGGUGCAGCAGCUGCUCCAGGACUUCUUCAACGGCAAGGAGCUCUGCAAGAGCAUCAACCCCGACGAGGCCGUGGCUUACGGCGCCGCCGUCCAGGCCGCGAUCCUGAGCGGCGAGGGCAACGAGAAGGUGCAGGACCUGCUCCUGCUCGACGUCACGCCGCUGUCCCUCGGCCUGGAGACCGCCGGUGGCGUCAUGACCGUGCUCAUCCCGCGGAACACGACCAUCCCGACGAAGAAGGAGCAGGUCUUCUCCACCUACUCCGACAACCAGCCCGGCGUCUUGAUCCAGGUGUACGAGGGUGAGCGUGCCAGGACCAAGGACAACAACCUCCUCGGCAAGUUCGAGCUCUCCGGCAUCCCUCCGGCGCCGCGCGGCGUGCCGCAGAUCAGCGUCUGCUUCGACAUCGACGCCAACGGCAUCCUGAACGUGUCGGCGGAGGACAAGACGACGGGGCAGAAGAACAAGAUCACGAUCACCAACGACAAGGGGCGGCUGAGCAAGGAGGAGAUCGAGAAGAUGGUGCAGGAGGCGGAGAAGUACAAGUCGGAGGACGAGGAGCACAAGAAGAAGGUGGACGCCAAGAACGCGCUGGAGAACUACGCCUACAACAUGCGCAACACCAUCAAGGACGAGAAGAUCGCAUCCAAGCUCGCCGCCGAUGACAAGAAGAAGAUAGAGGACGCCAUCGACGGCGCCAUCAGCUGGCUGGACAGCAACCAGCUCGCGGAGGCCGACGAGUUCGAGGACAAGAUGAAGGAGCUGGAGGGCAUCUGCAACCCGAUCAUCGCCAAGAUGUACCAGGGCGCCGGCGCCGACAUGGGAGCCGGAGGCAUGGACGAGGACGCUCCGGUGGGCGGCAGCGGCGCAGGCCCCAAGAUUGAGGAGGUCGACUAAACUGCUCCAUGGUCACCUGAUCUUCUGUCCGCCAUUGUCUUUAGCUUAAAGCUUUUGCUUGUUCUGUCGUAUCGUCAUUUCGUAUGGUAGAAAAAUUUGUGGAAGCUGACUGUGGUUUGGUUUGGUAGUUGGAACUUCAAUCCCAGCAGCUUUUGAAUAUGGGGAUGCAUU
Molecule: RNA transcript, 2221 nt
Organism: Oryza brachyantha (malo sina)
Lineage: Eukaryota; Viridiplantae; Streptophyta; Magnoliopsida; Poales; Poaceae
Gene name: heat shock 70 kDa protein 4-like
Exons: 2
Source: RefSeq, a predicted model, not a curated record